UUCUGGUGAAAAGUUUAAAUUGAUGUCCUUUAUUUGAUCUUUCAGAAGGUUUUGAUUAUUUAAUAUGUGGUGGGAUUUUAUGAGUUGAUAACUUACUAGCGUUCAAACCUUAAAUUUGUUACUUAUUGAGCAUGGUAGAUAUAAUGUGUUUUUCAUCAAUAUACUAUACCAUAAAUCUGCAGCACUUGCCAUUUACUUUAAAAUCAGCAAAGCAAGCAAAAUACUUGGAUAUUAGUUUACAAAGUCAGCAUUGGCCUUCCAGACUGGUCAGAGAUUAAAUAUAUCAUUCUAUUUUGGAUUAAGUAAAAUGUUCAUAAACUGAUACUCUAUAUUAAAUGAGAUCUUUGUUACAUAGUUUCUAAAAUAACUCCAUCAAUAACAUUUGUUGUGUGAUAAU
RNAcentral lists this long non-coding RNA (397 nucleotides) under Bos taurus (domestic cattle). Its description in RNAcentral is "long non-coding RNA NONBTAT025484". The record is from RNAcentral. Lineage: Eukaryota; Metazoa; Chordata; Mammalia; Artiodactyla; Bovidae.